UACGGAGGAUGCAAGCGUUAUCCGGAUUUAUUGGGUUUAAAGGGUGCGUAGGCGGGAUAAUAAGUCAGCGGUGAAAGUUUGAGGCUCAACCUUAAAAUUGCCGUUGAAACUGUUUUUCUUGAGUAUAUUUGAAGUAGGCGGAAUUCGUGGUGUAGCGGUGAAAUGCAUAGAUAUCACGAAGAACUCCAAUUGCGAAGGCAGCUUACUAAACUAUAACUGACGCUGAAGCACGAAAGCGUGGGUAUCAAACAGG
RNAcentral lists this ribosomal RNA (253 nucleotides) under uncultured bacterium. RNAcentral describes it as "partial 16S ribosomal RNA". It matches the Rfam family "Bacterial small subunit ribosomal RNA", at positions 524 to 776 of the family's 1533-position model. The record is from RNAcentral.